UUGGUUUCGGGACAGGUGCAUAAUCCACGUGUUUACACUCUGGAAUCCCCCGGGGCUGGAGGUGCCACACCCGGAGAUCCUGGUCCACCUGUGCGGCUUCCUCUGAGCCAGGCUCUCACUGCCCGGGAACCCCGAGCGGUCCCCGGCACCAGUUCCCGUUUGUCUUUCUCUUUAUUCCCCCCAAGCCUGUAAGUGUGAAGUUGCUGUGGGGCAGACACGGUGUAGGCGGCCGAUCUGAAUCCCAGAGGCCGAUCCCCAUCUCCUCCGCGUUAAAAUCAGUGAUGAGGCUGCCCAGGAGGCACCUUGACUCCCUCCCUGGUGCUCGGCCCUGGGGUGGCUCCCUCCUCUCCCGCGGCCCCAAACAGCAGGGCCCUGGGCAUCUUGAUCUGGUUUCCGUUGAGAUUCUUGUCUCGUCUUGUCUCCCUGAAGUGCAGUGUGUUGGCUGGAAAGUGUGUGCAGCUUCCUGGUUCCUGAGCCUUUUCUUCUUCAAGUCGCUCUCCCAGAGGACGGUGUCCCCACGUGUGGUCGCUGCCGCUCCGUGUGCGUCGUCAUCCUACGGCCCUGCCAGUUUGGGUUGGGUCUUUUGUAUGGACGUUCACCCAUUAAUCGUUCAGGCCUUUGCUUCGUUGCACAGGAGAACGGGGAAAGGCCGUCCCUGAGACGCACACGAAUGAAAGAAACAGCCACCACGUCAGUACUGGAGAGAAACCCCUUGCGGCUCCCUGUGCCUGCCAGCAUCUGGGGUCCCCACGGCCGCCCCGAGGCUGCCAGUCAGGCGGCCGGGCCCCAGCUUCGCCUCCUGACCCGCUGUUAGCAAGUCUUCCGAGAAGCCUCCUCUGGCCAGUAAAGCCAUUUACCUCCCCACAGCCCCCUUCCCGGGGUGGUUUAGGCCAGUCCUGGCGGAUCUUCACUGCCAUAUGUUGAUUGUUCGGGAUCGAGACUCGUUCUGGUUUCUCUGCAGACACGUUGCAGGACAUAUGGUGACGCUGUGUUCGUGGCUUAUUCAAACCUCAGGAAGACCCCAGCCCCCUGCCCAGGGGAAGUCCUAACAGGGCAUCCUUGAGGAGCCACCUCCUGGCCCGGCAGGUGACCCAGGGAGGCGGGAGGGAAGAGAGAGGAUGCGCCGCCUUGCCCACUGGAUGGCUCCUCUCAAUGGGUAACAGGGAGAGGACCGUCCAGCCCAGACAUCUCAGAAGAUGGAAAAAUAAGAGAGUUCAUUCCAGCUAAAAAUACAACCAUCUGCCUGUGAAGAGCCUUGCUCGGUGCUGUCAUGUCCACACCCAAAGCAGCAGGGAAAACCACACCGGGGACCGGGCUCAGUGCCGGGAUGCUCCACGGCCAUGACGCAUAUUUACGAGACAUUUUAAAGGACGUCACAGAUGUCAGUGUUAAUUGGUAACAAUGUUCAGAGGAGUCUGAGCGGGAAGAAUGUGAGUAUGUUGGAGAUGCCAGAUGCCGACACGAGGUGUUAGAGGGUGGGCUGAGCUGGGGGCAUGUGUUAAGGGUGAUUUUCUGGGUGGUGACACUGAUAGUGGUCUCCUGAUCCUUUUCUGCAUUUUUCUAAGCUUUCAUCAAUAAACACAAGCGCAAGGAAAUGA
Long non-coding RNA from Canis lupus familiaris (dog), 1598 nucleotides. RefSeq lists it as uncharacterized. The record is from RefSeq and is a predicted model, not a curated record. NCBI's taxonomy places the organism in Eukaryota, Metazoa, Chordata, Mammalia, Carnivora, Canidae. The transcript is spliced from 2 exons.